UACGUAGGGUGCAAGCGUUGUCCGGAAUUAUUGGGCGUAAAGAGCUCGUAGGCGGUCUGUCGCGUCGGCUGUGAAAACCCGGAGCUCAACUCCGGGCCUGCAGUCGAUACGGGCAAACUGGAGUACUGCAGGGGAGACUGGAAUUCCUGGUGUAGCGGUGAAAUGCGCAGAUAUCAGGAGGAACACCGGUGGCGAAGGCGGGUCUCUGGGCCGUAACUGACGCUGGAGGAGCGAAAGCGUGGGGAGCGAACAGG
Molecule: ribosomal RNA, 254 nt
Filed under: uncultured bacterium
Lineage: Bacteria
Description: partial 16S ribosomal RNA
Rfam family: Bacterial small subunit ribosomal RNA
Source: RNAcentral